UUGGGAUGGGACCUGCGGUGCAUUAGCUAGUUGGUAGGGUAAGGCCUACCAAGGCGAUGAUGCAUAGCCGAGUUGAGAGACUGAUCGGCCACAUUGGGACUGAGACACGGCCCAAACUCCUACGGGAGGCAGCAGUAGGGAAUCUUCCACAAUGGACGCAAGUCUGAUGGAGCAACGCCGCGUGAGUGAAGAAGGGUUUCGGCUCGUAAAGCUCUGUUGUUGGUGAAGAAGGACAGGGGUAGUAAUUGACCGUUGUUUGACGGUAAUCAAUUAGAAAGUCACGGCUAACUACGUGCCAGCAGCCGCGGUAAU
This 312-nucleotide ribosomal RNA is filed under the name uncultured Lactobacillus sp. RNAcentral's name for it is "bacterial SSU rRNA". It matches the Rfam family "Bacterial small subunit ribosomal RNA", at positions 219 to 524 of the family's 1533-position model. The record is from RNAcentral. Lineage: Bacteria; Bacillati; Bacillota; Bacilli; Lactobacillales; Lactobacillaceae.